CUUCCCGGACUCUUCCGAACUCGAGCGCGCCUUGUCU
RNAcentral lists this ribosomal RNA (37 nucleotides) under Isochrysis galbana. The record is from RNAcentral. Lineage: Eukaryota; Haptophyta; Isochrysidales; Isochrysidaceae.